CACGUAGUUAGCCGGUGCUUAUUCUUCAGGUACCGUCAUUAGUGGAGGAUAUUAGCCCCCACCGUUUCUUCCCUGACAAAAGAGCUUUACAACCCGAAGGCCUUCUUCACUCACGCGGCAUUGCUGGAUCAGGCUUUCGCCCAUUGUCCAAAAUUCCCCACUGCUGCCUCCCGUAGGAGUCUGGACCGUGUCUCAGUUCCAGUGUGGCUGGUCGUCCUCUCAGACCAGCUACUGAUCGUCGCCUUGGUGAGCCUUUACCUCACCAACUAGCUAAUCAGAUAUCGGCCGCUCCAGGAGCACAAGGUCCGAAGAUCCCCUGCUUUCAUCCUUAGAUCGUAUGCGGUAUUAGCGUAACUUUCGCUACGUUAUCCCCCACUCUUGGGUACGUUCCGAUAUAUUACUCACCCGUUCGCCACUCGCCGCCAGGUUGCCCCGCGCUGCCGUUCGACUUGCAUGUGUAAAGCAUGCCGCCAGCGUUCAAUCUGAGCCAGGAUCAAACU
This 500-nucleotide ribosomal RNA is filed under the name uncultured Massilia sp. RNAcentral's name for it is "partial 16S ribosomal RNA". The record is from RNAcentral. Lineage: Bacteria; Pseudomonadati; Pseudomonadota; Betaproteobacteria; Burkholderiales; Oxalobacteraceae.